Molecule: non-coding RNA, 1553 nt
Organism: Sus scrofa (pig)
Lineage: Eukaryota; Metazoa; Chordata; Mammalia; Artiodactyla; Suidae
Source: the annotation of a RefSeq genome assembly
CUGCCUGUCACAUUUAUUCCGAACCCCAGGGUAACUCAGUGCCACUGGCAUGAUGCGGUUCCCGGGGGUACUUCUCGUUUUCCUGGUUCCUGUCACUCAGGUAUCUUCCAACGUGGAAGGGGACAAGAUGUCAGUCACUAGGGCUCCUGGAACAGCUGUCUCAUUUACUUGUGCUCUUACACAAAACACCAAUUAUAUCCAUGUGUACACAAAAAAGGAGGGGACAGCCCCCCACGCCUUUUCUACUACGACAUCUACUACUCAAAAUUUACGUUGGAAUCAGGAGAUAGUCCAGAGAAAUAUCGUGUUUAUGCAGGCACAAGCAAGAGCUAUACAUUCACCAUGCUAUAUCUGGAAGAACGUGACUCCGGCACGUACUACUGUGCUCUCUGGGACAAGCACGUUGGUUACUGGAAGAAGAUAUUUGAAAAGGCACUGGAGCUCAUAGUAGCUCCCUAUGAUAUAAACCUUGCUUCAGACCUUUCCCCCAAGCCCACAGUGUUUCUUCCUUCGAUUGCUGAGAUAAAGCUCCAUAAUGCUGGAACAUACCUUUGUCUUCUGGAGAAUUUUUUCCUAAUGUUAUUAAGGUUUAUUGGAAAGAAAAGAAUGGCAACAAAGUCCUGGAAUCCCAGCAGGGAAAUACCAUGAGGACGACUAACACAUACAUGAAAUUCAGCUGGUUGACUGUGAGCAAAACAGCCAUGGAUAAAGAACACAAGUGUGUCGUCAAACACGAGAAAAAUAGAGGGGGAGUUGAUCAAGAGAUUAUUUUUCCUUCAGUGAAUGAAGUUGUCACUUCAGUUGUCACUACUACUGAGCCUCCAAAUGACUGUUUGAACGAUGGAAGCAAAGCCACUGGUAUUGAUUCUGAAAAAGCUUGUAAGAAAGAUCACAGUGAAGUCACUGUUACUGAUUCCAAAAAAGUUUGUCAGAAAGAUGAAAGCAAUUCACUGCAGCUGCAGCUUGAGAACACCUCUGCCUACUACACCUACCUCCUCCUCCUCCUCAAGAGUACCCUCUACUUUGCCAUCAUCACCUGCUGUCUGUUUAGGAGAACAGUCUGCAGCAGUGGGAAGACCUCCUGACAGAUGAUGCCACCAAGGGCUCAACUUCGCUUCAGCAUCAUUGUCUCUACAAGUGUCUGCUGAGGAUCUAGCUGGGCUUCCUUUCUGGGUUUGGCUUCUUUCAGAGAAUAUGUACAUCUUUGUAUUAUAUCAUUAUAGUGUAAGGAUUUUUCAAUCCAAUGGCCAAACAGACCCUUGCACUGCAUAACAAGGAAUUCUGCCAUGACUCAGGGCAGGGCUGAGGGCUGGUCCACGAGAGCCUUUCCCACCACUGUCCCUCAGUGUCAGCAGCUCCUCCAGCCACUAAAUCUUUCACCUCCUGAGCACACACAGCACAGCACACGGUUCCUCGUCUCCUCCCUCAGGGCUUCCACCAGACCACGGCCCUGAGCUUCCCUGUACACACCCUGGAGCCCAGCUUUGCUGCUUGAAUCUGUCCUUUGAUUUUUCAUGAUAGGCACAAUCAAUUAAAAAGAUAUCCAACCUCCA